GGAGGGCCAUAGCUCAGUGGUACAGAGCACCUGCUUUGCAGGCAGAAGGUCCCAGGUUCAAUCCCUGACAGCAUCUCCA
Molecule: non-coding RNA, 79 nt
Organism: Podarcis lilfordi (Lilford's wall lizard)
Lineage: Eukaryota; Metazoa; Chordata; Lepidosauria; Squamata; Lacertidae
Source: the annotation of a GenBank genome assembly